This 227-nucleotide unclassified non-coding RNA is filed under the name plant metagenome. RNAcentral's name for it is "partial contains small subunit ribosomal RNA, internal transcribed spacer 1, and 5.8S ribosomal RNA". The record is from RNAcentral.
UUUCCGUAGGUGAACCUGCGGAAGGAUCAUUAACGAGUUCAUGCCCUUCGGGGUAGACCUCCCACCCUUGUGUAUUUAUACCUUUGUUGCUCUGGCAGGCCGCUGGCUCUGCCAGCUACCGGCUUCGGCUGGUGAGUGCUUGCCAGAGGAAUCCAAACUCUGAAUGUUAAUGUCGUCUGAGUGCUAUAUAAUAGUUAAAACUUUCAACAACGGAUCUCUUGGUUCUG